GCGGAUGUGGCGGAAUGGCAGACGCGCUAGGUUCAGGUCCUAGUGUUCGCAAGGACGUGGGGGUUCAAAUCCCUUCAUCCGCACCA
Molecule: transfer RNA, 86 nt
Filed under: Tissierellia bacterium
Lineage: Bacteria; Bacillati; Bacillota; Tissierellia
Description: tRNA-Leu
Rfam family: tRNA
About the family: Transfer RNA (tRNA) molecules are approximately 80 nucleotides in length. Their secondary structure includes four short double-helical elements and three loops (D, anti-codon, and T loops).
Source: RNAcentral